AUCGCUUCUCGGCCUUUUGGCUAAGAUCAAGUGUAGUAUCUGUUCUUAUCAGUUUAAUAUCUGAUACGUCCUCUAACCGUUACCUUAACACAGGGGUAGUGGGUCUCAAAACACUUCAAGUUCAGAGGAAAAGAUGUCAAAAUGCUUGUGUGCCGAGUUUUA
This 162-nucleotide small nuclear RNA is filed under the name Lynx canadensis (Canada lynx). RNAcentral describes it as "U2 spliceosomal RNA (ENSLCNG00005005035.1)". It matches the Rfam family "U2 spliceosomal RNA". From Rfam's summary of the family: U2 is a small nuclear RNA (snRNA) component of the spliceosome (involved in pre-mRNA splicing). Complementary binding between U2 snRNA (in an area lying towards the 5' end but 3' to hairpin I) and the branchpoint sequence (BPS) of the intron results the bulging out of an unpaired adenosine, on the BPS, which initiates a nucleophilic attack at the intronic 5' splice site, thus starting the first of two transesterification reactions that mediate splicing. The record is from Rfam by way of RNAcentral. Lineage: Eukaryota; Metazoa; Chordata; Mammalia; Carnivora; Felidae.